AUGCAAACGGCCGGUAUUUACACCUUUCGAGCACAUGGUCAAAUAUAUCACAACAUACACUCAGAUCCAAAGCAUCUGGAACUAUACUUCUACGACGAUGAUCCAAGCUUAGAGCAUCGAUACCGCCGUUGCCGUGAGGAAAUGUACGAGCAAGACAAGCAUGUGAUUGCAAUAAUAACAGACAUCCUAUGCGGUAACCCGUACUCUCAACAGUUUAGGAGUUUGGGACAAGCCCAAAACCUUGAGGACUACAGACUGAUCUUGAACCUUGACCAGAGAUUGGACCAAAGAACAUACAACGAGCCAAUCAAUUCAGAGGUAGCUGCAGUGUGGAUUGAAGGAAAUCAAAGAAGAGAUACUUAUGACAGAAAUGUAAUAUUACAUGGGAACAACAACGAAAAAGAGCACAUUCGAUCAUAUUACGGGUGCUAUGAUCCGUUAUCGUAUCCUUUAUUCUUCCCAAGAGCUGAACUAGGUUGGCAUAGGAAAAUCCCGAAGAGGGAAACACGAGAGGAAGAUAUUGAUGCUGAAAAUAUCAGUAAUGACGAUGACCCAGGUAAAAAAAAUUCAAAUACUAUUACAUUAAAAUUCAAUUUUCAUAUACUACCACCUAUGCAACUAACUAUUUAUGUUGCAAUAUUUGCACAGAUUCGGACAGUGGCCUAUGGGUAA
This 672-nucleotide ribosomal RNA is filed under the name Triticum aestivum (bread wheat). RNAcentral's name for it is "partial small subunit ribosomal RNA". Lineage: Eukaryota; Viridiplantae; Streptophyta; Magnoliopsida; Poales; Poaceae. The record is from RNAcentral.